Molecule: long non-coding RNA, 1243 nt
Organism: Monopterus albus (swamp eel)
Lineage: Eukaryota; Metazoa; Chordata; Actinopteri; Synbranchiformes; Synbranchidae
Exons: 2
Source: RefSeq, a predicted model, not a curated record
AGCUGGGAAUCAAACUGCUAAUCCUCUGUUUAGGAGACAACCCGCUCUACCUCCUGAGCCACAGCUGUCCACAAUGAUUAAUGUAUUUGUUGGCAGCUUUAACUCCUGUACAAUGAAACAUUGAAAUUUCUUACAUUUCUCUGCUUGCAGUGUCUUAUAAGCAAGGCAGCUUUAUUUAUAUAGCACAUUUCGUAAACAGAGGCAAUUCACAGUGCUUUACAUAGGUGAAAAAAACUAACAGCAGUAAAAACAGUAAGCACUAAAACCAGAGUACAACUGGUUAAGACAAAGUGAAGUACAGUGCAGUAAUAGGUUGCAAGUUGCCCUGAUGAAACAAACGUUUAGUAGAGAAACCAGUGGGUCAGCAGUUGUAAAAUGUAAAGUCAAGCUUUUAAACAGCUGCUCUGAAGAAACUCCAGUUAACACAGCUUUAGCUGUUAGCAGACGCUGUGUAUGUGGUUCUCUGUGUGGCCUUUAAUUACAUGUUGUUAGCGUUCACAUCUGGACAAAAGGGAAAAGUUCUAAUAAGAACCUCGGAACAGGACGACAAAUGACACCAGGUGGUGUUGCAUAAAUAAGUGGUUGAAUUUCAUUAUUUAAAACUAAACUACAGCAGUAGUUCAGUAUAUUGAAAAUGACUGUCUAACUUGUGCUGAAUGAUUAAACCUCUGUUUAUUUUUUCUUCUUGCAGAGACUGACUCAUAUAGCACAUUGACACAUUGUGGUCCCCUCAUUUGCUGCUGCAUUUUUAAAAAGUGUUUUAUUUAUUUAAUGUAUUGUUUGCAGGGAUUCUGUAUCUCCACAUCAGGUCGCAACCAUUAAUCCAACGUGCAUAUUGUUUUAAUGUUACACAGAUGUUUAUUACCUGCCUGGUUUAUUAUACAAGACGUUCACUUAGUCGCUGGACAGUUUGACUUGUCCAGUACAACGUUAAUUACAGCUCCAUUCCUUCCAGGUGCUCAGUGCUACCUGCCGUCUUCACUGCCACACAUAACUGGGACAGAUCUGUUACCAGCGUUAACAGUCACACACCAAGCCAAAUGAUUGCUGUGGGAAAAGUAUAACAUCACACUCCUGCAUUGGGACUGUUGAACGGUCUGGCUGACUUUAUGUGAACUACAUGUGUAAUGACAGGAAUUGUCACUGUGUCCUCUGAGAAACGGCUCCGUUUCUGGUUGUUUUAUAUAUAUGUGCCGCUUCACUUGUACAGAAUUGUAAAAAAAUGAUUAAACUCAAAACCUUA